RNAcentral lists this ribosomal RNA (319 nucleotides) under uncultured eukaryote. Its description in RNAcentral is "partial 18S ribosomal RNA". It matches the Rfam family "Eukaryotic small subunit ribosomal RNA", at positions 1470 to 1796 of the family's 1831-position model. The record is from RNAcentral.
CCCUUAGAUGUCCUGGGCAGCACGCGCGCUACAAUGGUCUUCGCAAACGGAUGCAUUCUCGAAGGAGAAUGCCAAUCUUGGAAUCUAUGCCUUGGUCGGGACAGUUGCUUGCAAUUUUUCGACUCGAACCAGGAAUUCCUUGUAAUCGUGACUCAUCACAUCACGAUGAAUACGUCCCUGCCCUUUGUACACACCGCCCGUCGCUCCUACCGAUCGAAGAGUUAGGUGAAUUGUUUUGAUCGAUAAGAUUUGACUAUGGUCAACUCUCGUUGUGAAAUUCUGUGAAUCUGACUGUUUAGAGGAAGGAAAAGUCGUAACA